Molecule: long non-coding RNA, 1921 nt
Filed under: Piliocolobus tephrosceles (Ugandan red Colobus)
Lineage: Eukaryota; Metazoa; Chordata; Mammalia; Primates; Cercopithecidae
Description: lncRNA (ENSPTEG00000011031.1)
Source: RNAcentral
CAACAUUGCUUGUGAAAAUAAACAUGGCUCAAAAAAAAGAGAUGACAUAAUAAAUUAUAAGCUGUUGAAUAAAAAAAAGACAUCCUCCAAAAAUAGUUUAAUUAUAAAUAACAAAAAUGGUUUUAACCUUUUACAACAUAAUAAUAAAGGAAAGACAUUUAAAAAUUAUGAAACAGGUGUAACUCAAAUUUUAAAAAAAAAUAAAAAAAUCAACAGUUAUAAUCAUUUAAACACAAAACUAUCCAACUUAGCAAAAAGCAAAGACAUAACAAACUACAACUACCACUACAACUACCACUACAACUACAACUACAACUACCACUACAACUACAACUACAACUACAACUACAACUACAACCACUUUUACCAAAACAAUAAGAAUGAUAAUGAUAUGUUCAUUAACAAUAGAUUGAUAUCCAAUCGAAAAAAAAAAGUUAUAGAUGAUAAAUAUAAUUUUUUUUACCGAUUGGAAAAAAUGUUAUUUAUUUUUGACAAAUUAAAAUAUGAACAGUUAUAUAUUUUAUUAUAUUUUUCUUUAUCUGUUAUACCUACACUUUUUCAUACAUAUUUAACGCGUAAAUUUAAAAAAAUAAAUGAACGCGUUCAUGUUAGUUUGUACUUAAUGUACGUAUCGAAAAAAAUAAAAAAGCAAUCGAUUGGUUAUUUUUAUGGUAAUAAAGGACAAAAAUAUGGAUAUGUUGGUAUCACUCGAGAUGCUGAAACUGCAGUGGGUAAUGGUAUGGGUAGUGAUGGUAGUGAUGGUAGUAACAUAAUAAACAAACAAGUUAAAAAAGGAAAAAAAAAAGGAAAAACAAAAAAAAAAACGAAGUGGUUUAACACAAUUGGUGAAACUCUUUGGAACAAAAUUAAUUCUAUUUCUGUUGAAAAUAAAAUUAAAACAUUAAUGACAACACAAAACGAAAAAAACGAUUGUUUAGCCAAAUUUAAAAAAAAAAUGUAUUUAUUACAUACAUUUGACAUGACAAAAGAUUUUCGAAAAAUAAAACUUGUGUCUGUAAAUAAUAACAGUAGUAGUAAUACCCAUGAAACGUUAUCAAACACAUUGACAUUGGGAGAUAAUAAUGGAAGUAUAAAAGCGAAUGGGUGUGAAGCGAAUGAUAGCAAGAAUAACAAAAAUGGUGUUAAACAGCUGAGUCACAUGGUGGCCCCAACCAACUCGAUAAGAAUGACUAAGGCAGAAGUUACAAAUGAAGAGAAAGAACUAACACAGCAACAGGAUAAAAAAGUGCGGCUUCGUGUGCAAGUACGAACGCAGUCGCAAGCACAGACGCAACACUUGAAAAUGCGACUGAAAAAGCGAAUGGAAAAGCCACUGAAAAAGCCACUGGAAAAGCCACUGGAAAAGCCACUGGAAAAGCCACUGGAAAAGCCACUGGAAAAACCACUGGAAAAACCACUAGAAAAACCACUAGAAAAGCAACUGGAAGAGCAACUGGAAGAGCAACUGAAAGAGCAACUCCAAAUUAAACACAUCUACAAAUAUUACAAAAAAGAAAAAAAAAAUAUAUCGAAUUAUAAAGGGUUUGAGCUUUUUAUGAAAAGUAUAACAACAAUAUGCAAUGAGUAUUUUUUACAAUUUUUUAUAAACAAUAUAAAUAUUAAAAAAAGUUUAAAAAAAAAUAAUUCUAUUUUAAAUGUAUACAAAAGUGGUGAUGGUAUUAAUAAUUUAAUGAAAGAAGUAUGUUCUGCUGAGAGCAGUAGUUGCGAUAACACGGAUCAUAUACGCAUUUGUAGUUUAUAUAAAGAAAAUACAUUAAUAUAUAAUGAAUAUAUUAAAAAAAAAAUAAAAAAAAAUAAAAUAUAUACAUAUAAACUAAUGCACAACCAAAUAGAAACGUUAUUAAGUUCAAAAGAAUUAAUUGAAUAUAUAAACAAACAAAAAGAAAAUAAAAAAAAAAAA